Molecule: long non-coding RNA, 289 nt
Filed under: Mytilus galloprovincialis (Mediterranean mussel)
Lineage: Eukaryota; Metazoa; Mollusca; Bivalvia; Mytilida; Mytilidae
Source: RNAcentral
UUAUACAUAUUUGUUUUUCGUAAAUUUUUUUUUACAUAAAUAAGGCCGUUAGUUUUCUCGUUUGAAUUGUUUUACAUUGUCUCAUCGGGCCUAUUAUAGCUGACUAUGCGGUUUGGGCUUUGCUCAUUGUUGAAGACCGUACGGUGACCUAUAGUUGUUAAUGUCUGUGUCAUUUUGGUCUUUUGUGGAUAGUUGUCUCAUUGGCAAUCAUACCACAUCUUCUUUUUUUAUAUUUAACAGACAUUUUCAUUUGUCGCUUGUACAGUGAGAAUUACCAUGUAAAAAAAAU